AAAUGGAUGGAUUAUGAUUUAAUAGAUAGCAAAGCAUUCAAUAAUCGUUCUAUGUUGGAUUAGGAUAUAGUGAAUUUUGAAAUAUGCCUAGCGCUUUAAGUUUAUAAAAUAGAUAUAUGAUGUUCAUUGUACUGUAUUGGAGAUCAGUAACUAGCAGCCGUUGGAUGGCUAUAGAUAGAAGAUAAAUGCAAUUGCAUAGUAACAGGAAUUUCCUUUGAAAGAUGAUGUAUUUGUUACAGUGUGGUACGCCUGAUAUGUGUUUCCGUUGGACAGAUUUACUGGUACUAUCAUUGAAAUAGGUGAUUCUGAUCCCCUGAGGUGGCCGGGUUCGAAGUGGAGAUACCUCAAGGUACAAUGGGAUGCAAUAUCAGCUAUUCCACAACCAGAGAGGGUCUCACCAUGGAAAAUAGAACCUGUCUUGACCCCGUCAGAAAUUAAUCCUCUGCCGAAAGCCAAAAACAAGAGAUCCCGGCCGAAUGUACUGCCUCCAAAACAAGAUUUGUCAGUUCUCGAUAAGGCAUUAAUUGAUUCUACACAGUUGCAAAGAUUUAAUACAAUGGUCUUGCAAGGUCAAGAAGUCAUGACCUCGGGAGGAUCUUUGGAUGAAAAUAAGGUUGACAGUGUUCCGAGGACAGUUGUGUGGUAUCCAAAACUAGAUUAUGUCGAAACAAAAUGUGUAUUCUCUCAAGGAA
This is a long non-coding RNA of Cryptomeria japonica (Japanese cedar), 692 nucleotides long. RefSeq lists it as uncharacterized. The transcript has 3 exons. The record is from RefSeq and is a predicted model, not a curated record. Lineage: Eukaryota; Viridiplantae; Streptophyta; Pinopsida; Cupressales; Cupressaceae.